CGCGUAGGCGGAUCUUUAAGUCAGGGGUGAAAUCCUGGGGCUCAACCUCAGAACUGCCCUUGAUACUGAAGAUCUUGAGUCCGGAAGAGGUUAGUGGAAUUCCCAGUGUAGAGGUGAAAUUCGUAGAUAUUGGGAAGAACACCAGUGGCGAAGGCGGCUAACUGGUCCGGUACUGACGCUGAGGUGCGAAAGCGUGGGGAGCAAACA
This 207-nucleotide ribosomal RNA is filed under the name uncultured bacterium. Its description in RNAcentral is "partial 16S ribosomal RNA". It matches the Rfam family "Bacterial small subunit ribosomal RNA", at positions 568 to 774 of the family's 1533-position model. The record is from RNAcentral.